GGAAGUGUGCCCGAAUGUUAAGGGUUUCCUUGAUAAGGAAUUUCGCGGGAGUUCAAAUCUCCCCACUUCUU
This 71-nucleotide transfer RNA is filed under the name Indirana semipalmata. RNAcentral's name for it is "tRNA-Ile". It matches the Rfam family "tRNA". From Rfam's summary of the family: Transfer RNA (tRNA) molecules are approximately 80 nucleotides in length. Their secondary structure includes four short double-helical elements and three loops (D, anti-codon, and T loops). Lineage: Eukaryota; Metazoa; Chordata; Amphibia; Anura; Ranixalidae. The record is from RNAcentral.